RNAcentral lists this long non-coding RNA (876 nucleotides) under Equus caballus (horse). Its description in RNAcentral is "lncRNA (ENSECAG00000030957.3)". The record is from RNAcentral. Lineage: Eukaryota; Metazoa; Chordata; Mammalia; Perissodactyla; Equidae.
GUCAACACACAGCACCAGCCUCAAGCAUUUACUCAGUCUGGGGUGUUAGGCACAGGAAAACUAGCAACAUCCUUCCUCUAGCCAAGGACCUUGUAAUCUUGUUAGAGAGACAAGAAUCUGGGCUCUUAAACAAUCAACGUCCUGUAUAAGGGACAAAAAGGGAAGACACAGGGAACAAAUAAAAGCCAUUUCCUUUUUGAGAACUUUCUUACCUCCAGAACACAAGGAAGUGGGCUUUGGCAAUGAUCUCGGCAGAAACCUCAGCCACAGACCACUGGGCGAUCAAGAAUGCUGCUGUGGCUUCCUGGGGACCCACAGCGCCUGUCCACAUGGAUCAAAUAACUCAAGUGAGUCAAACUUCCUCUCCCUGAACUGUGCAGACGUGGCCCCAGGCUUGGAGGCUUCUGGAAACCCUCAGAUGUCGAGUAUCGACUGGACAGAGCAUCCAGGUGUCCGGCUGAACUUUUCUGUAUUCACGCAGAUGUUCUAAGUCACAGGCAGUGGACGGAGUUCCUUGGAAUACUCACAAGGCCUCAGUCGUUACAGGAGCUGGAUCCUCUCCAGUGGAAGAGACAUUUUUUGUGGACCAGAGACCUGAGAGAGAAGCAGAAAGAAGUGUUCAGCAACGUGCUGGGGGCCCGCAUCCUAGGGAUGAAUCAUGCCAGUGAUUGGUUUGGGGUGGCCAUGUGACCCAGAUCCAGGAUCCAGAAACUUCGAAGGAGUUGCAGGCCUUGGUGUUCAAGAAGUAGCCCGUCAGCGUGCCCAUUUUGUAAAUGAAGUAACGGAGGUUGAGUGGCAUUGGGGCGGGCCUCCACCAGACCCACGGCUCUCACCGCAGGGCUCUGUGGGUCUUUCUUCCUGUGCACAGUAGUUCCA